AACGAACGCUGGCGGCGCGCCUAAUACAUGCAAGUCGAGCGAGAAGACGUAGCAAUACGUUUGUAAAGCGGCGAACGGGUGAGGAAUACAUGGGUAACCUACCCUCGAGUGGGGAAUAACUAGCCGAAAGGUUAGCUAAUACCGCAUACGAUUCCCGGACUGCGGUUCGGGAAGGAAAGCGAUACCGUGGGUAUCGCGCCCUUGGAUGGGCUCAUGUCCUAUCAGCUUGUUGGUGAGGUAAUGGCUCACCAAGGCUUCGACGGGUAGCUGGUCUGAGAGGACGAUCAGCCACACUGGCACUGCGACACGGGCCAGACUCCUACGGGAGGCAGCAGUAAGGAAUAUUGCGCAAUGGACGAAAGUCUGACGCAGCGACGCCGCGUGGGGGAUGAAGGUCUUCGGAUUGUAAACCCCUUUCGGCAGGGAAGAUGGAACGGGUAACCGUUCGGACGGUACCUGCAGAAGCAGCCACGGCUAACUUCGUGCCAGCAGCCGCGGUAA
Molecule: ribosomal RNA, 501 nt
Filed under: uncultured bacterium
Lineage: Bacteria
Description: partial 16S ribosomal RNA
Rfam family: Bacterial small subunit ribosomal RNA
Source: RNAcentral